Molecule: long non-coding RNA, 643 nt
Filed under: Homo sapiens (human)
Lineage: Eukaryota; Metazoa; Chordata; Mammalia; Primates; Hominidae
Description: non-protein coding GAPLINC:8
Source: RNAcentral
AGCCAAUGCCUGAAAUAAUGAACUCCUCCAAGGCAAGAAAUCUGUUUUGAAGCUUCUCUGCGUUCACACACAGCAGCCUGGUUUCCUGGAAGGGCAUUUUCCACAUUGUGCGUUAUGGAUGAUCAUCCCAGGCAUCAGGUGUGAAGCCCUGCAUCCACAUCCAGGGGCUAUCAAAUCUCUCUGCAAAAGGAGAAGCUGGACUCAGGCACGUUUACAGUGAUGUGUAUGCAGUUCUGUGAAGGAAGCUGCAGAAGAAAAAGGUGAAAGAGGUGAGGAAGCUGCAGAAGAAAACCUGGAAGUUAGCAGAGCUUGAUCCAGAGGUUUAAGGAAAGAAGCCAUCUCCAUAACAUAAAAGUGCAAGGUGAAGCAGCAAGUGCUGAUGGGGAAGCUGCAGCAAGUCAUCCAGAAGAUCUUGCUAAGGGUAUGCACAGAUGUGGAAACAGGAACUGAUGUGUCCAUUACACCACUAGGACAGAGGCCAGAACAAUGAAGAAACCAAAUACUUGGAAGAGGGUAGAGAUAAUGAAUGGAGUCCAAGAGCCCUGAUUGUGCCAUAAAUGUCCAGAUAAUUCCAUACCUGAGGAUUAUGUGGUUUGUAAACUUGGCACUUAGAAGAACCAAUAAAAUCAUGUUAUAGUUUCAA